RNAcentral lists this ribosomal RNA (113 nucleotides) under Takifugu stictonotus (gomafugu). Its description in RNAcentral is "partial 16S rRNA". The record is from RNAcentral. Lineage: Eukaryota; Metazoa; Chordata; Actinopteri; Tetraodontiformes; Tetraodontidae.
CACCUAACAGCUAGCCCCCACCCCACCCACAACAAACCACUAUAAAUACCCCCUAAGAUACUUAACUAAACAAAACAAAUCAUUUUACCACCCUAGUAUAGGAGAUAGAAAAG